GUAGCUACAAGAGGUGGAAACGAUGGAUUAGAAGAGAAAAAUGAGAUCUCCCUCCUCUUCCUCCUCAUUAAUAUCUCCAAAGAUCUUGGAGCCCUUGCCAAAAAUGUGACUGAGCCUUCACAUGGGUUUUCAAAUCAGGCAAAUGCAUCUGCAUUUCUUAUUUUUCACUGUCUUCAUGUGAUUGACUGGGUUCUAUCAUUGAAGAAAACUCACCUCUGUACAAGCCUUAGGAGACAAUUUCUUCUCCCCGCCCCCUGCCCCACUAAAGUUAAAGGUUCCUCAUUUUACAUAAAGAGGAGGGAUAUAAUAAUUACAUAACACUUCAGAAGGCUGCUGAGAUUUAAAUGAGAUCUUGUUUGUUACAGCACUGGCCACAGCCUGCGGCUGUGAAUUUUUCAAGCUUAGGAAUUAUAUUUUAUUCAUCCUCGUAUCCAGAGUUCUCCAAAGAGUUUCCAACACAUGAGACUGAGGAGAAGGAAGAGAAGUAUCAGCUCAUGUAUAGAAUGUCCCACAGAUCACAGUAAUGACUCUCUCAGCUGGAAACAGAAAUAAAAGUCAUAUCGAUGGUGUUAGUGUUAGA
Long non-coding RNA from Neofelis nebulosa (Clouded leopard), 580 nucleotides. RefSeq lists it as uncharacterized. Lineage: Eukaryota; Metazoa; Chordata; Mammalia; Carnivora; Felidae. The record is from RefSeq and is a predicted model, not a curated record. The transcript is spliced from 5 exons.